UCCUGUAAAAUUAUUUGCUACUGAUCUUAAAGAAACUCCUAGGGUAGAACAUCUUGGGCAGAUUAUUGAACAACAAAAUUUUACCAAUCUUGCUCUCAGUACUAUAGGAAGAUAAACUGAAAGGAUUGAAAACAUCCUUUUAGAAAGAAGAGAAGAAGCUGGAACAAUUACCAAAAGAUUUCCUAAAAAUCCAAAGAUAAAAAAAGUUCAAAUGCCACUC
This 220-nucleotide long non-coding RNA is filed under the name Elaeis guineensis (African oil palm). Its description in RNAcentral is "long non-coding RNA (EGUI_LNC044569)". Lineage: Eukaryota; Viridiplantae; Streptophyta; Magnoliopsida; Arecales; Arecaceae. The record is from RNAcentral.